UGUGCAAAAGGAGCAGAUGAGUGUUGGG
Molecule: non-coding RNA, 28 nt
Filed under: Homo sapiens (human)
Lineage: Eukaryota; Metazoa; Chordata; Mammalia; Primates; Hominidae
Source: RNAcentral